This 406-nucleotide ribosomal RNA is filed under the name uncultured bacterium. RNAcentral describes it as "partial 16S ribosomal RNA". It matches the Rfam family "Bacterial small subunit ribosomal RNA", at positions 29 to 526 of the family's 1533-position model. The record is from RNAcentral.
AUUGAACGCUGGCGGCAGGCCUAACACAUGCAAGUCGAACGAGAGGCGGACGGGUGAGUAAUGUCUGGGCAACUGCCCGACGGAGGGGGAUAACGACGGUAAACGGUAGCUACUACCGCAAACCAUCGGAUGUGCCCAGAUGGGAUUAGCUAGUCGGUGGGGUAACGGCUCACCUAGGCGACGAUCCCUAGCUGGCCUGAGAGGGUGACCAGCCACACUGGGACUGAGACACGGUCCAGACUCCUACGGGAGGCAGCAGUGGGGAAUAUUGCACAAUGGGCGCAAGCCUGAUGCAGCCAUGCCGCGUGUAUGAAGAAGGCCUUCGGGUUGUAAAGUACUUUCAGCGGGGAGGCGUUACUCAAAGAGGAAGCACCGGCUAACUCCGUGCCAGCAGCCGCGGUAAUUC